AAAGUGGGGAUUGCUCGGUUGAAAGGGCAUAUCAUUGGAGGCGACCGCAAUUGCGUGAAGUGUCUAAAAUCAACAAAAUUUGUUCGAAAUGAAGUGCUUCAGUAUGAGAAUACGAGGAAGGCUAAAGCAAUGACAAUGAAAAUGUCUAAGAAAGUUGUGGACGAAGAAUCUGAUGAUGAUGAUAUAUUGAUAGUUGAAGAUAAUUCUUCACUUCCGA
Molecule: long non-coding RNA, 217 nt
Filed under: Zostera marina
Lineage: Eukaryota; Viridiplantae; Streptophyta; Magnoliopsida; Alismatales; Zosteraceae
Description: long non-coding RNA (ZMAR_LNC002069)
Source: RNAcentral